GAACUGCACAUGAGGAAAAAGUACUGUUAGGAAUAAAAUCCUCCAAAGGCACCCAUGCAGUACGUGCCAUCAUUGUCCAAUACAAGCUGAGAAGAACAUUCUUCAGAAGUGUUCUCAGGAUAAUCCACAAAACCUUUCAGGAAAGGUGCUUUUCAAGUUGAGAUUGCUCUGAGCAGUUGCCAGCAACAGAACAGAAACACCAGAAAAAGUCAUGAGGCAUAACAAUAGAAGUGUUUUCCUAAGCACCCGCAACCUUACAGGUCUCCUCACCUUAGAUGUGUCAGUGUACCUGAAGAGAACCGUAGGAAGCCAGCUGGUAUCAGAAUCCCACAGAUUAGGUCCUGAUAGUUUAGCUUGGUCACUGUAUGUACUUUCCACACUGACUGGGAUGGGUGUUUUUUAAUUCUGUAGUGAAGGAACGCAAAUCGUGGCACUCUCCACCUUUUGCAGAUGAUUUCGCUGUGGUGCAUUAUCAUGACACAGUACCCACUGUAUAAUUUUAUGUAAGAAGGCAUGUUAGGACCCAGCACGCUGAAUGAGUUAAUGAUACAGCAGAGAAUCUGCGUCUGGCUACUUCACCAUACUGGUGAUGAACAGGAGAGCAGGAAGUGGUGAGAAAGCGUGGCAUUAAAAUUGUACCAGAGCAAGAGCAGAACCAUCAUACAGACCCAGACCAUUGUUAAAACUCUAAAAUUAGAGGUAUAAUCAUAAUAGAAACCUCACAUUCUAACUUAAUUUAGGUUCUCCAGGAAGAAUUGCAGAUGCUUUCAUCCCACAAAGCAUGUUGCCUGGACAAGUCUUCAGGAGUUGUUUGCCUGCUGGCCAUGACAACGCAUGUAGCUGGGAGCAUCUUGGGGGAGCAAGUAUAUCUGCACAGCGUUCCUGAGAGAUUUGUGAAGGAGUUUAAGCUGGUACAGAAGACUAUUAAAAUGUGCGGUACUGCCUGCAAAGCAGUGGGAAGAUCAAACAGCCAGCUGCUCAACAUUGUUCACUGCCUUCAGAGAACGAUGAACACAUCAGCACGGCUGAGCGCUGCUGUAGAUCACCCAGCACACACAGAGUACUACAGUGACCUUAAGAGAAGUUUCAAAGUGGAGGAUGCUCUGGCUCCACCUACCACUGCAUUACCUAUGUCUUUGCUGCAAGCUGCCCAUGUGGCCAAGGAUGACACUGCCGCGUGUACCCCAGCUCCCCUGGACCAUGUCACUUCACAAAGAUUUGGUCUGCUUAGAGGCCAGGAGGCAGCUCUUUUCCCCUGAAGCCCAUCUGAAGCAAGAGUCUCUUGUCUUUAAGGUAUGUGAAAUAACGAUAAAAUCUGCAUUUCUCCUGUAUCUUUGCAUUUUCUCUAUUUGGCAAGUUCACUUGGCGGUCAACAUGAGGAAAUCUGGCAUGGCUGAUAAGAGUUGCUGAAGGUGGUGCCUCCCAUGCACAUGUCACCAGAUGGUGCAUUUUCCUUUCUGAUGGCACAGCCCCAAGGCUGUUCUCGUUCAGGUUAUGUGAUGUUAUCAACUGCUAGUCAGGCUUUUGCAGGAAGUACUGUUUUUGUACUCCAGAAAAUGAUCCUUGUGUUAUUUUUGUCCUGAAAAUGAGCCACAAAUACUGAUUUAAGACCACAUUGCCCAUCUUUUAGGAAUGGUUUACUUCCCCAUGGAAAAAUAUGCAGUUUUUAUCUGAAUUUAUUACCUGUUACUUUGCUUCAUGCAUUAAAUACGACAGAAACCACAAAAUAACCAAGACUGGCUAUAUCGUGAAGGGGAAAAACUUGCUAAGCCUUAAAGAGGGUUCAUGUAUUUAAAAUAAGAAGUACCAAAAAGCUAACUUCUGAACAUUCAAAGGCAGGAGGUGGUAUACAUGCGAAGGCUGUUCUGGCAUUUUGGCUUGAAGAUCAACAGCCCAUGUUUACACUCACAGUGUGUAUCUGCCAGUUUUGCUCUUUGUGGAGCCCUUGAUCUGGAUAAAGGGGUAGUGAGGUAUGCAGCUAAAGUCUGUCUCAGAAGCCAAGCUGCCCAUAGGGAAGAGGACAGCUUAUCCAGAUAUCUGGAUGGGAUCAGUAUUUGCACUCGCAAAUAGCAGCACUCUGCAUCCGUAUCCCAACUGAGCCUCAGCUGGGACAUGACCAGAAUACAGGAAGAGUGAGCUUAUUAAAUUUAUGUUGGCACCUUGUCAUUUUGAAGGUUUUUGAGGACCCAAAGCAGCUGUUUACAAGGCACCCUUGUUUUCUCUCAUUUAUUCAGUAAGAGGCAAAAAUAGUUUAGAAAGAGAGAUCAUCUAAUCAGGCAUUCAUAAUGAAGUAUUAUUGCCUGUCCCAUAUGUUCCCUUCGGACUGUUGCUGUCAUUUAUUAACUCAAGCAUGUGAUUUGUAGCAUCCUUUUUGGGAAAGUGUCCUGCUAUCUAACAUCCUUUUUUGGAAGGCUGUUUCCAAAAUUUUGCUGUGAAUGUAUUCCUCCAAUGCACACACAUGUUCCACUUACAGCAAUUUAUCAUUUUCUUUCUUGGGAAACUUGCAGGGAUCUAUUCACAGUUUUCUCGUGUAAGCUGAAGGUUAUAACUCUAAGGAAGGCCUAGAGAUCCAAAACCAAUCUUGUGUCACUGAAGAUGUUUUCUCAGAAUAAAAUCCACCUCAGCUAGGUUGCA
RNAcentral lists this long non-coding RNA (2634 nucleotides) under Numida meleagris (helmeted guineafowl). RNAcentral's name for it is "lncRNA (ENSNMEG00000000420.1)". Lineage: Eukaryota; Metazoa; Chordata; Aves; Galliformes; Numididae. The record is from RNAcentral.